GGUAUCCGGCCUGAGAGGGUGAACGGACACACUGGAACUGAGACACGGUCCAGACUCCUACGGGAGGCAGCAGUAGGGAAUAUUGCUCAAUGGGGGAAACCCUGAAGCAGCAACGCCGCGUGGAGGAUGAAGGUUUUAGGAUUGUAAACUCCUUUUGUUAGAGAAGAUAAUGACGGUAUCUGACGAAUAAGCACCGGCUAACUCCGUGCCAGCAGCCGCGGUAAUACGGAGGGUGCAAGCGUUACUCGGAAUCACUGGGCGUAAAGAGUGCGUAGGCGGGAGGACAAGUCAGGUGUGAAAUCCUAUGGCUUAACCAUAGAACUGCAUUUGAAACUAUCCUUCUGGAGUGUGGGAGAGGUGGGUGG
Molecule: ribosomal RNA, 365 nt
Filed under: uncultured Helicobacter sp.
Lineage: Bacteria; Pseudomonadati; Campylobacterota; Epsilonproteobacteria; Campylobacterales; Helicobacteraceae
Description: bacterial SSU rRNA
Rfam family: Bacterial small subunit ribosomal RNA
Source: RNAcentral